GCAGCGCUGGAGGGAUCCUGGGGCACUAUAGCCCCUCAAAUUCACCUUAACCCCUGUGACAGGGAACCCUAAACCUGUCACGAGGAAGAAGGUGCGCCCCUACAAGGCCAGAACCUUCUGGGCACAGAGGGCUGGGGAGGAAGGGGUUAACUGCUGAACUGGGACGGAUAGUCAGCAGAAGAGGCAGGACUAUAGAAACCCUGGGUUGAAUGGCGGUAAGGGGGAAGGAGUGCAUUGCAGAGCUCCAGUGAGAAGCUUGGUGGGAAGUCCAAAGCCAGGAAGAGGGGAACUAUAGAAGCCCUGGUGAGACGACAGCUGCACUGCAGCAAGGACUGGAGCUGAUACACGAACCCUGCAACUGUGGAGUCACACCCGGGUUUUGAACUUGUGACCCCUUUUGGCUGUGGGGCCAGCAUACAUGCCUCUGGGCCACUGGGUGCUGUGCCUCAGAAGGGAGCAGAAGAGGGGGCCAAGAGCCUCCAGGCACUGGAAGGAAGAGCUAGAGCCUUGGAGUCUAACCCUGUUUGGUGGGUUUGGAUGGAGAGGCCUAGCUAGAGAAAAAAAGGGGUCAGACCAUCAUAGGAGAGACCCCAACAUACCUAAUAUAAUCAGCAGUCUCCCGCUCACAUACUAAUUCCAUCAAGACGUGGCAGACGAGAUUAGAGCGGGACAGCAGAGGCCCAAGAGGACUCCAAGGGCACCCCACGGUAAUAGCUAUAUGGCAAGAUUGUGAGUGGCUCUAAAACCAACAGAUUAGCAUAAGAUAAGGCAUAAAGGAACACACAUGUCAAGUAACCAGUUUGAAGGAUGGGACAGAAGGACCAUCGCUGUACCAAGCCUGGCCCCUGGACUCCCACUGUAAGCGAGGACCGGAUCCUGACCAAGGGAUCUUCCCAGUGACCCCUCAGACAACGUUGAUCAGGGACGCCUGACUUCUCUGGAACAACUUGGUGUGCACCUGGCACAGAGGGACUGCUAAUAAGUUGCCAACCCCAUGUGGGAACUCUUUGUCGUUCUGUCUAUCUGUUGUUAUUAUUCACUAUUAGCUCUUUAUUAUUGUACUAUUUGUUUGUCGCAUUAACCUUUCCGUUAACUGUUGUAUGCUAACCUAUAAGUAAA
Molecule: long non-coding RNA, 1119 nt
Organism: Alligator mississippiensis (American alligator)
Lineage: Eukaryota; Metazoa; Chordata; Crocodylia; Alligatoridae
Exons: 3
Source: RefSeq, a predicted model, not a curated record